AUGAACGCUGGCGGCGUGCCUAAUACAUGCAAGUCGAGCGAACAGACGAGGAGCUUGCUCCUCUGACGUUAGCGGCGGGCGGGUGAGUAACACGUGGAUAACCUACCUAUAAGACUGGGAUAACUUCGGGAAACCGGAGCUAAUACCGGAUAAUAUAUUGAACCGCAUGGUUCAAUAGUGAAAGACGGUUUUGCUGUCACUUAUAGAUGGAUCCGCGCCGCAUUAGCUAGUUGGUAAGGUAACGGCUUACCAAGGCAACGAUGCGUAGCCGACCUGAGAGGGGGAUCGGCCACACUGGAACUGAGACACGGUCCAGAAUCCUACGGGAGGCAGCAGUAGGGAAUCUUCCGCAAUGGGCGAAAGCCUGACGGAGCAACGCCGCGUGAGUGAUGAAGGUCUUCGGAUCGUAAAACUCUGUUAUUAGGGAAGAACAAAUGUGUAAGUAACUAUGCACGUCUUGACGGUACCUAAUCAGAAAGCCACGGCGAACUACGU
Molecule: ribosomal RNA, 495 nt
Filed under: uncultured bacterium
Lineage: Bacteria
Description: partial 16S ribosomal RNA
Rfam family: Bacterial small subunit ribosomal RNA
Source: RNAcentral